This 354-nucleotide long non-coding RNA is filed under the name Anthonomus grandis grandis. RNAcentral's name for it is "uncharacterized LOC126735483". The record is from RNAcentral. Lineage: Eukaryota; Metazoa; Arthropoda; Insecta; Coleoptera; Curculionidae.
AUUUAAGCUUAAGAUGGUUAACAAAAGAGCUGCUGUAAUGGAAUUGUCAGGUGGUGUAUAGAAUAUUUGAGGAAAAUUAAAAAAAUUUGGGAGGAAGAAAGAUCCAUAUAUUAUUUAGCCGAAACAUGAUAUGAUACAUUUAUGAUUGAUGUAUGAUUUCCAUUCUCUGGGAAAAAAGUCUCUUUUUUGCCAUACUUACUGCCCCUGUUGUCCUUCAGUGAUACAAUAAAGACUGCUUCUUCCACCAUUCUCUGGGAAAAACCCUGUUUUGCUAUGCUUACUACCCCUGUUGUCCUUCAGCAACACAAUAAAGACUGCUUCUUCCUCCAUUCUCUGGAAAAAAGUCCCUUUUUU